GACGAACGCUGGCGGCGUGCUUAACACAUGCAAGUCGAACGGAAAGGCCCUGCUUUUGUGGGGUGCUCGAGUGGCGAACGGGUGAGUAACACGUGAGUAACCUGCCCUUGACUUUGGGAUAACUUCAGGAAACUGGGGCUAAUACCGGAUAGGAGCUCCUGCUGCAUGGUGGGGGUUGGAAAGUUUCGGCGGUUGGGGAUGGACUCGCGGCUUAUCAGCUUGUUGGUGGGGUAGUGGCUUACCAAGGCUUUGACGGGUAGCCGGCCUGAGAGGGUGACCGGCCACAUUGGGACUGAGAUACGGCCCAGACUCCUACGGGAGGCAGCAGUGAGGAAUAUUGCACAAUGGGCGGAAGCCUGAUGCAGCAACACCGCGUGCGGGAUGACGGCCUUCGGGUUGUAAACCGCUUUCGCCUGUGACGAAGCGUGAGUGAAGGUAAUGGGUAAAGAAGCACCGGCUAACUACGUG
This 468-nucleotide ribosomal RNA is filed under the name uncultured bacterium. RNAcentral's name for it is "partial 16S ribosomal RNA". It matches the Rfam family "Bacterial small subunit ribosomal RNA", at positions 28 to 507 of the family's 1533-position model. The record is from RNAcentral.